Long non-coding RNA from Hydractinia symbiolongicarpus, 3319 nucleotides. RefSeq lists it as uncharacterized. Lineage: Eukaryota; Metazoa; Cnidaria; Hydrozoa; Anthoathecata; Hydractiniidae. The record is from RefSeq and is a predicted model, not a curated record. The transcript has 5 exons.
CAAGAAGUACUUGUUCUUAAUAAGUCUUUACAUGCAUUUUGUUGCUUGCGUAAUACUAAAACAGUAAUACAGGAACCCGAGCAGGCAAAAGACGUACCAAAAGCUAUUCAGGAAGUUUGGCUAAUUCGGCUUGAAGAUUAUUGCUUCACAAGUAAAACCUUAGAAGAACGAAAGUAACUGUUAUGAGCUAAAAGUCAAGUUAUGUCAUACUUUUAAAACAGUUAAGUACCCGCCUUCUCAAAGUGGAAUGACUGCAGAAAAAUCAAACAAAAAACUAAAAAUUGCUCCGAGGAAGAAGCACCUGCUUUUAAUACGAAUAUUUCAAAGAGAUAUAUUGAAUUUUGAGCGGUGCUUUAAGUGACAAGAAAACAUCUACUAUGUGAUAUCAUUUUCAUAUUUCUCAAGUCACAAUAUGAAUAAAAAAAAAAUAGAGUUAGCCCAAGUUUGCAGUGCCAUAUGACAUUUUGCAUGCCGGCCGAUGCCAUCAUUUGGAAAAGCAGUAGGGAUCCUUUUUUAAAACGCGCGAUAAAUUUUUGACUAUGUUACACAUUUAUUAUUUUUAUUUUAUAUAAAUAUAAAAAUAAUAAAUAUACUAUUUUUAUGUUAAUAUUUAUCAGUUUUACCAUCGAUAGUUAACAGCAUUAGCGUUUGGUUAUCCCCACCAUGAUAUUUAUUAGCUACUUUCAAUGAAGCCAUAGAUUUCGCUUUAAGAUAAUAAAUAGUAAAGCAUUUUGUUGGAUUAACUUUAGUUAAAUCGUGGUGGUUGAACGAUGGAGGUUAAACCAUGGUGGUUUGCACCAUGGUGGUAUAGCCAUGGUGUUUAAACCAUGGUGGUUAAACCGUGAUCCAACGCUUUCUUAAUUUUCCAAUGUUACUUUUAUUUCCGUUGAACAAAAAUUUUUAACGAAGUAUUAUUUGCUAACCCUACUGCCUUUUAUAUAUAAAGCAUUCUAAUGUUUCAUAUCCAGACACCUCACCCAGUAGGAACAGAAUUAUCAAAUACACAAACAAUAAAAAUAUACGUUUCACAAUAAAAGUAUUAAAAUACGGUAUUUGCGUCAUUCCGUAACAGCAGAGCGUUUAAAUUGGAGCCGAUAGUGUGAAUGGUGUGGUAUAUGAAAUUUGUUUCAAUGUUUCAAAGCACAAUAUAAAAACAUAAAACAAUAUUAUAUUUCUUUUUUUUUUUUUUUUCAAGCACGAGACUUGUAUAUUUUUUCUUCAUUAAAGAUAAAUUACUUUUGAAGAUGUGAAGAAAUUUUGGUUUUGUUGCUUAAAUAAUUAAAUCUGAAAAUUGAAAGAUGUUAAUUCGGAUAAUUCCACAACAGCAAAGAGUUCAUAAUAUUACCUGAUGGGAAGCACUGAAAUGAAAAAGGCAAGAAUAUGUGCAAUCUGGGGAUUAUUGAUAUUUCAGCACAUGUUUAUGCAUCCAGGUAAAUGGCGGCACGUUAGUGUAAAUUGAAGCUCUUUAAUGACAGCACAAGUAUACCAAUGUAAUUUAUAAAGUUAAAGAAAUGGAUCUAAUUUAUGGGUUCAAGAAAAACUUAAUGCUGUUUUACGAGAAAGUCAUAUCUGCAAAAGAAGAAGAGAAGAAAGAAAAAACUCUUACAAUAUUUUUUAUAGUUUAUUGAACUUUUAUCACUUUAACGGAAUGAUUAUGCAUUUUCGUUAUAUCACACUCCCGAUAGAACUUUGUAUUGUUUGUUAAAAGCAGUAUACAGACUAUAUACAAAAUUUUGGUCUUGCAACAUCAUUAAAAAACAAGAAGGUCUAAAAUUAGUAUUUAAACUAGUCGAUAAAACCUGUGGAAAAAUCCACUUAGACAGGAUAACAAUAAAAAUGAACCGUUAUUUAAAUUUUGAUGACGUCAGCUAGGAUCUGUCAAGAGACAAAAUGUUUUUUCUUGGAAAUUUGUUUACUUGUUGCCUUUAUGGUGUAGAGCUUGAAUAGCUGAUUUAAAUAAUGUAUAGGAUCAUUUAAGGAGAUAUGAGGGUUUAAACAUUUUGCUGACGUCAGCAAAAACGAACAAGUAUGCAAAAAAAUUAUUUUAAGAAAUUUGUAUAUUUUCUGAUGACGUCAUCGACCCGUCUCUUCCGAAACGGAUUGGGGGACCCAGGCUUGGGAAACUUACUCAAAUUGCUCCAAGGUGGUCCUUACCCACGCGGUAAAAAAUUGACGUCACCACCUCGUUUCCAAGUUAUUUGGCCUCAAAGUUUUAAGUGCAAUGUAAUGGCUUCAUUAAUUAAUAUACUUUCCGUUGACGUCAACAUUAUGUUAACAUCAAAGUUUAGUACUUUACAGAACAAAUUUAUAGGUGAUGUUUUAUAGACUUUAUCAAAGAAAGUAGUGAAUAUAAUAAUCCACUUUCCAAAAAUGACAGACAGACACACGGAGCUGGCGUAUUAUUACAGAGAUUGAAACAAUGUCAGCCUGGGUACUAGUUUUCAAUUAUAUUAGCAAAACAAUCAGGGUACGAGUUUGCUGAGUUAUAAAAACAAUGUGCAAAAACGUAGCGGGCUGUCCGAAUUUAUUAGUGAGUUAAAAAUGUUAUCGGUCUGGGUACGAGUUUGUCGAGUUGUAAGAUUAAUAUGCGAAAAGAUGUCAGGCUAUCCGAAUUUAUUACUUAAAAUUGAAUUCUGUCAGUCUGGGUACAAGUUUACUGAGAUAUAUAAGCAAUGUGCGAAAAAAUGUCAGGCUAUCCGAAUUUAUUACUAGGAUUAAAAUGUCGUCGGUCUGGGUACGAGUUUGUCGAGUUAUAAGAGUAAUGCACCAAAGGAGUUAAAAUAGAAUAAAAUAGAAUUCAUAAGGUCUGGGCACGACUCUUCUGCGGAGAUAUAGAAUCAAAGCGUGAAAAGAUGUUACGCUAUCCAACUUUAUUACUAAGAUGAACAUGUUAUCGGUCUGGGUACGAGUUUGUGAAAAAAUCAAGCAGGGCAUCUGUAUUUUUUCUAACAUUCAGACGGUGAUACGAGCAUGACUCUGGUACAGACCAGUUCAACAGGUCUGUACCAGAGUCGUGACCGUUUUACAACCCAAAACCCAGAUUUCUCUGUCUAACCUAAAUUUUUCUUAAAAGGAAGCAUAAACCACGUGACGUAAAGUAAAAACUACGACUUCUAGCGAGUGAAAAAUAAUGAUGGCGAAACCAAAAGAAUCAGUAGAUUUUUGAUUUCUUUAAUGGUUUUUAGUUUUGUGAAUUUCAGUAGCUAUAUUUGAAGAUUUUUGUGUGAAACUUUAGUUUGUUAGACAGUUUGUACGUCUUUAAAAUUUCGGAAAAUUGUUGUCAUACUCUCACUUGUCUUAAUAAAUGUUGUGCAUUUGG